RNAcentral lists this ribosomal RNA (497 nucleotides) under uncultured bacterium. RNAcentral describes it as "partial 16S ribosomal RNA". It matches the Rfam family "Bacterial small subunit ribosomal RNA", at positions 28 to 507 of the family's 1533-position model. The record is from RNAcentral.
GAUGAACGCUGGCGGCGUGCCUAAUACAUGCAAGUCGAGCGAACAGACGAGGAGCUUGCUCCUCUGACGUUAGCGGCGGACGGGUGAGUAACACGUGGAUAACCUACCUAUAAGACUGGGAUAACUUCGGGAAACCGGAGCUAAUACCGGAUAAUAUAUUGAACCGCAUGGUUCAAUAGUGAAAGACGGUUUUGCUGUCACUUAUAGCUGGAUCCGCGCCGCAUUAGCUAGUUGGUAAGGUAACGGCUUAUCACGGCAACGAUGCGUAGCCGACCUGCGAGGGUGAUCGGCCACACUGGAACUGAGACACGGUCCAGACUCCUACGGGAGGCAGCAGUAGGGAAUCUUCCGCAAUGGGCGAAAGCCUGACGGAGCAACGCCGCGUGAGUGAUGAAGGUCUUCGGAUCGGAAAACUCUGUUAUUAGGGAAGAACAAAUGUGUAAGUAACUAUGCACGUCUUGACGGUACCUAAUCAGAAAGCCACGGCUAACUACGUG